Long non-coding RNA from Equus caballus (horse), 2207 nucleotides. NCBI's taxonomy places the organism in Eukaryota, Metazoa, Chordata, Mammalia, Perissodactyla, Equidae. The record is from Ensembl.
AGACAACAGGAGAGAAAGAUGGGGAGUCAGGAAAACACAGAUUUCAGCGCCUGCUCCUCCACUUCCUCUCCAAGGGGCCCAAGGCAAAGGGCUCUGCCUCAGUUUCCCUAGUAGUGCAAAAGGAUGACGACGCCCACACCUUGUGAGCUUCCUCCAAAGGAUGCGCGCAGCCGCGGAGGGGCCCCUUGGCGCACAGUCGGCCCUCGCCCAUGGCCCGCCCUGGCUUAGGAGCUGCAGAGAGCCAGACAUGGUGCCUUGACCUGCCUUCCAGGUGUCCCAAGCCUGCUGAGGGACAGACGUCCACACUGCUUCUGCCAGUGGGCAAGAUGGAACGACCAGACGAUGGGAUGCAGACGGGCAGGGGCUGCCCAACACACGGAGCUCCAAGGGCGGUCAGGACACACCAUGAAAACAGCCGCCGCUGAGGAGCCUCAGGACACGCGCAGAGCUGUGCUGGCAGCCUGACUUUCAUCCGAUCCUCAGUCAGCCCUGCAAGGGCUCACAACCCCGUCAAGCCGCCAGCGUCACAGAGAGAGGCACCUCCGCCGGCCCGCCCUCCUCCGUCCCUUGCUCUUCCUGCCCUGGGGCCAGGCUGGUCCCUCAUCAUCCACCGGCACCCCCUCAUGGUGUCUCCCCUCAGGUGCUCCCUCUCCCCGCCCCCACCCGUCAGAAUCCAGCCGUUUGCAGGCAGACGGAAGUUCACAUCCCCCCACGCCUUACAUGAACUGUGUGGCCCGGAGCAAGCCACUCAUGCUUCUGGAGCCUCAGUUUCCUCUUUUGCAUACGGGGCCAUCCGGGCAGCUCUGGAGGGACAUGGAAUGAGCUACAGUAUGUAAACCAGCCCAGGGUCGCAUUAUGCUGGUCGUGGUGGCACAGGAGUGGGUGACUUCUUCCCGGUGGGUGACCGAGGGCAGGACAAGGGCCUGGGCAGGGCACAGUCAGGAGGCUGUGGCUUGGAUGCUAGAGACAGUGGUGACCAGGACCAUGUUUAAGUGAGACCAAACAGCAGGGCGUUCCAGCCAGUGUCCCACAGGAAGUGGCUGCUGAGAGGAUGGGGCCCAGCCUGGGGCACCCCGCGGGCGGGCAGUGGCACCACCCCAGGCCUGGCCGCCAGGCUGAGGUUUGGGGGCAAACCUCGCAACAGCCCUCUCAGUAUUUGUAUCCCCACUUUACAGACGAGGACAGCGCGGCACAGAAAGGCUCACCACAGGUUUGGACUGAAGUACCACCACGCACGUCAUAGUCUGCCCCGUCCUGGACCUGGGCUGAGCAGGAUGUGGACAGAUUCCCAAGGAAGCAGGCAGCUGGGCCGACAGCCAGCCAGGCCCGGUCCACCCCAAGCAGCCAAAUUCUUCCCGCCUGCCUCUGACCCACCCUGGGGCUCCGAGAAAGAAGCCGGGCUCCAAAGACAAUUUCUAAUAAAGCUAAACGAGAGGAAGCUCUGAAAUGAGAGCGGGGGCGGGGGGGCCCCGGGCCUUUGAACCUGCUGGGGUGGCACUGGCCGGUGCCCCAGUGGCCUCCACACUCAGCCUCCCUUAUGAAAAUAGGCCGGGUGCGUGGGCCUCGGGCAGCCUGGAGACGGAUGCAGGUCCGUUGGCACCCUCAGCCGGCAAUGUGCCGCAGGGCGCCCGGAGCCCAGCCCAGGUCGGGCGGGUGACACUGGCAAUGCUGACCUGCCCCCAGUGUUUGGCUGGGCCGCGGAAGGAGACUGGCAGGUCCUGGGCGGGGAGGCCUUGACCAGCGGAGAGGCAGAGCACAGAGGUCACGGGCCGGGGAUGGGGUCAGACUGCCCACGGCAGAUCCUGGCUCUGCCCUCCGAAGGGCCCCAGUUUGUAGGGGGAGACUGGGUCUAGCUUGCAGCCCCCUGGGGGCAGGCGGGACGGAUUACCGGGAGGCAGGAGGGCUUGCUUUCGGGGGGGUCUGAGCCCCCCACCCCAGCGAAGCCUCUUCCGGCCGGGGAGGGAGGGCACAGCCCACGCCCUCAGCCUCGCCCUCCUCCCGCCCUCCGUCCCCCAUCCCCCAUCCCGCAGGAGGCCCUGUCUGCUCGCCGCUGCUCUUCGGCCCUUUCCCCACACUUCCACCGAGGAUUUAUGGUUUUAAUAAUGCAGACUUUGUCCACCAGCCUCCCUUCUGUUUAGGCCCCUCUAAAGAUCCUUAAAAUUAAAACACUAAUCAGGAAUUUAUUUUCUCAUCAAUCCUGCCCUUCA